Molecule: long non-coding RNA, 236 nt
Filed under: Nicotiana benthamiana
Lineage: Eukaryota; Viridiplantae; Streptophyta; Magnoliopsida; Solanales; Solanaceae
Description: long non-coding RNA (NBEN_LNC037813)
Source: RNAcentral
UGAAUAUUCAUGAAGAAAUGAAUGCCGGGCUCUUUCUUUCACUGCUAACCCCAAGAAGUUUCAACAUGCUGAAACUUUCCGUUUCGUCGAGCCCCGAGCUUGUGGUCCUCCUUUGAGUGUGGGUUCAAUUGAAUGAAUCUGUCAAGUCAAGGAAAACGUACGUAGCAGCAAGGAUGGUGCAUCGCCUAUUUAUCGUUCUCGCUCGGGAGCCAAAACGAACACGCCUGCUACCUACU